GUGACUGUAGCUCAGGGGCAGAGCACGUGCUUAGCAGGCACGAGGUCCUGGGUUCAGUCCCCAGUACUUCCG
RNAcentral lists this transfer RNA (72 nucleotides) under Camelus dromedarius (Arabian camel). It matches the Rfam family "tRNA". Rfam says of the family: Transfer RNA (tRNA) molecules are approximately 80 nucleotides in length. RNAcentral also lists the same sequence under 1 other name. Lineage: Eukaryota; Metazoa; Chordata; Mammalia; Artiodactyla; Camelidae. The record is from Rfam by way of RNAcentral.